CAAUAAGCGGAGGAAAAGAAACCAACAGGGAUUGCCUCAGUAACGGCGAGUGAAGCGGCAACAGCUCAAAUUUGAAAGCUAGCCUUCGGGUUCGCAUUGUAAUUUGUAGAGGAUGCUUUGGGUAAAACGCCAGUCUAAGUUCCUUGGAACAGGACGUCAUAGAGGGUGAGAAUCCCGUAUGUGACUGGAAAUGUUAACCUAUGUAAAGCUCCUUCGACGAGUCGAGUUGUUUGGGAAUGCAGCUCUAAAUGGGAGGUAAAUUUCUUCUAAAGCUAAAUAUUGGCGAGAGACCGAUAGCGCACAAGUAGAGUGAUCGAAAGAUGAAAAGCACUUUGGAAAGAGAGUUAAAAAGCACGUGAAAUUGUUGAAAGGGAAGCGCUUGCAAUCAGACUUGUUUAAACUGUUCGGCCGGUCUUCUGACCGGUUUACUCAGUUUGGACAGGCCAGCAUCAGUUUCGGCGGCCGGAUAAAGGCUCUGGGAAUGUGGCCUCCACUUCGGUGGAGGUGUUAUAGCCCAGUGUGUAAUACGGCCAGCCGGGACUGAGGUCCGCGCUCGGCUAGGA
Molecule: ribosomal RNA, 563 nt
Filed under: Aureobasidium pullulans
Lineage: Eukaryota; Fungi; Ascomycota; Dothideomycetes; Dothideales; Saccotheciaceae
Description: partial large subunit ribosomal RNA
Rfam family: Eukaryotic large subunit ribosomal RNA
Source: RNAcentral